AUGCAUGUCUCAGAGUACAUGGAUUGACAGUGGGUCUGUGAAUGGCUCCUUACAUCAGCAGUCAUCUCAGUGAUAGAGUGUGGAUGAUGCCAGAUUGCCCAGGCAUCCAAUGGACAUCCUCCAAAACCUGGUGGCUAAUACACAGAAGCAACAGUCUGCUGCAGCAUAUGGCUUUUGAAUGCUCAUCCCUGCUGGAUUAAGUCAUGGCAGUGGAUUGCAACCAGCUGUCUGGAAGACUAGCGCCUGGUAAAGGCAGUAUGCUUGUGGCUGACUCAGGCUGGUCCCAUGGAAGACACCUGCACUGGCAGCAUCAUUUGUGGAAUACCACAGUGCUUGAUCACACGAACUUCUGACCUAUCAGCCUGGACUGUGGUGUAGUGGACCACAGUGGCCAUCACGGGUAACGGAGAAUCUGGGUUUGAUUCCGGAGAGGGAGCCUGAGAGAUGGCUACCACUACCAAGGUGGGCAGCAGGCGCGCAAAUUGCCCAAUGCAAACACAUCUUGCGAGGCAGCAACGAACUGCAACAAUUCAGCAGGCCUUCUCUUAUGCCAGCAGAAUCUGUAAUGGAUGCUAUCCAAACACAGUGAUGAGUACCAACUGGAGGGCAAGUCUGGUGCCAGCAGCUGCGGUAAUUCCAGCUCCAAGGGCGUAUACUAACAUUGCUGCUGUUAAAACACUUGUAGUCUGCCACUGGAUGCAGGUCUGUUGGGAGGCCCUGGGUGCCCACCCAGUCUUAAAGCUGGGAGGAACCCCAGGGAUACAACCCCUGGCAGUAUGUCCUGUGUCCCCAACCAUGAUGGUGAGAACUGCUCCUGCAAGAAGUCCCCUUCAGUGGGGACCCAAACCAGCAACACACCCCAUGCUUGUCAAUGGCCUAGGUCAGGGACAUGGUCCAGAGCUAUGCAAUCCACCCUUUGUCUGCUAUAGGAGCCCACCAUUGCUGUCACCGUGGAAAACUCAGUGUGCUCAAAGCAUCCUUCUGGCAGGAUGCCCGUCCGUGGAAUUGUCAAUGCAACGACCAGAUGUGGCCAUGAAGUUGUGCUAGCCUUGGAGCUCAUCCAGGAUAAUGUGAUGCUGUUUCACUGGGGAAAGAGAAGCUUCAAGCUAUUGGCACCCAGCUGUGCAGUUAUCUUUUGGAGAUGAUGGGACCACUCAAGGUGGAAGAUAUUGUUGCGCCAGAGGUGAAAUUCUUAGACCGCAGCAAGAUCAGCUGUGGCGAAGGCGUUCUGCAUGUCUGAGUUCGUCGAUCAAGAAUGAGAGCCUGGGGAGCAAAGAUGAUUAGACACCUUCGUAGUCCAGAGCUAUAAACCAUACCAGCUGAUCGCUGGUGGGGCAAUCCUAGGACCCCAUCAGAACUACCUCUCACCCCACUACGAGAAAUCCAAGCCUUUGGGUUCAGGGGGGAGUACUGCUGCAAGGCUGAAACUUAAAGGAAUUGACGGAAUGGCACCACAAGGCGUGGAGUAUGCGGCUUAAUUUGACUCAACACGGGGAACGUUACCAGGUCAGGACGUUGCUGGGAUUGACAGAUUGAGAGCUCUUUCUUGAUCCUUCGGAUGGUGGUGCAUGGCCGCUCCUGAUUGGUGGAGUGAUUUGUCUGGUUGAUUCCGUUAACGAGUGAGACAUCUACCUCCCACUAGCCCCAGUCUCGUACUUGUAGGGCUUGGAUGGUGGCCCCUCCAUGCUGUUGGUUGUCCCUAUGGGCCUCCUGGCUGUGAUGCUGCCAAUCCCCCGAGAGUGCUGGGUUCCCUUAAGACUUCUCUGAGGUGCUGAGCGUAAACCUCCAACAGUGCUAGCAUGCGAGAUACAACAGCAGGUCUGUGAUGCUCCCAGAUGUCCUGGGCCGCACGCGCACUACAUUGACACAGUGAAGGUGUAACCCUUGCUAUUAGCCUGAGGCCUGCCCAGAAGUGGGUGAGAAACCAUACAAGCCUGUGUUGUCCUGGGGAUAGAUGAUUGCAACUGUCUGCCUUGAACGAGGAAUGCCUUGUAAGUGUCUGUCAUCAGCAGACACUGAAUACGUCCCUGCCAUUUGUACACACCGCCCGUCGUUGCUACCGAUGAUAACAGGAUAGAGCCAUCCAGAGGUGCCAUGCCCCAGAUCUGGUGUGAGCCGAAAUUGGGCAAUGUCAAGUUAUUAGAGGAAGCAAAA
RNAcentral lists this ribosomal RNA (2154 nucleotides) under Monomorphina reeuwykiana. Its description in RNAcentral is "SSU rRNA". It matches the Rfam family "Eukaryotic small subunit ribosomal RNA". Lineage: Eukaryota; Euglenozoa; Euglenophyceae; Euglenales; Euglenaceae. The record is from RNAcentral.